UCGACGCUUCUUUUUCCACCGGAGCUUGCUCCACCGGAAAAAGAGGAGUGGCGAACGGGUGAGUAACACGUGGGUAACCUGCCCAUCAGAAGGGGAUAACACUUGGAAACAGGUGCUAAUACCGUAUAACAAUCGAAACCGCAUGGUUUUGAUUUGAAAGGCGCUUUCGGGUGUCGCUGAUGGAUGGACCCGCGGUGCAUUAGCUAGUUGGUGAGGUAACGGCUCACCAAGGCGACGAUGCAUAGCCGACCUGAGAGGGUGAUCGGCCACAUUGGGACUGAGACACGGCCCAAACUCCUACGGGAGGCAGCAGUAGGGAAUCUUCGGCAAUGGACGAAAGUCUGACCGAGCAACGCCGCGUGAGUGAAGAAGGUUUUCGGAUCGUAAAACUCUGUUGUUAGAGAAGAACAAGGAUGAGAGUAACUGUUCAUCCCUUGACGGUAUCUAACCAGAAAGCCACGGCUAACUACGUGCCAGCAGCCGCGGUAAUACGUAGGUGGCAAGCGUUGUCCGGAUUUAUUGGGCGUAAAGCGAGCGCAGGCGGUUUCUUAAGUCUGAUGUGAAAGCCCCCGGCUCAACCGGGGAGGGUCAUUGGAAACUGGGAGACUUGAGUGCAGAAGAGGAGAGUGGAAUUCCAUGUGUAGCGGUGAAAUGCGUAGAUAUAUGGAGGAACACCAGUGGCGAAGGCGGCUCUCUGGUCUGUAACUGACGCUGAGGCUCGAAAGCGUGGGGAGCAAACAGGAUUAGAUACCCUGGUAGUCCACGCCGUAAACGAUGAGUGCUAAGUGUUGGAGGGUUUCCGCCCUUCAGUGCUGCAGCUAACGCAUUAAGCACUCCGCCUGGGGAGUACGACCGCAAGGUUGAAACUCAAAGGAAUUGACGGGGGCCCGCACAAGCGGUGGAGCAUGUGGUUUAAUUCGAAGCAACGCGAA
RNAcentral lists this ribosomal RNA (932 nucleotides) under Enterococcus hirae. Its description in RNAcentral is "bacterial SSU rRNA". It matches the Rfam family "Bacterial small subunit ribosomal RNA", at positions 62 to 965 of the family's 1533-position model. Lineage: Bacteria; Bacillati; Bacillota; Bacilli; Lactobacillales; Enterococcaceae. The record is from RNAcentral.